Molecule: ribosomal RNA, 481 nt
Filed under: uncultured bacterium
Lineage: Bacteria
Description: partial 16S ribosomal RNA
Rfam family: Bacterial small subunit ribosomal RNA
Source: RNAcentral
GAUGAACGCUGGCGGCGUGCCUAACACAUGCAAGUCGAACGGAGAUUACGGACGGAAGUUUUCGGAUGGAAGCCUGUAAUUCUUAGUGGCGGACGGGUGAGUAACGCGUGGGCAACCUGCCCUAUACAGGGGGAUAGCAGCUGGAAACGGCUGGUAAGACCGCAUAAGUCGGUUAAAUCGCAUGAUUUGAUCGGGAAAUGAGCAAUCAGGUAUAGGAUGGGCCCGCGUCCGAUUAGCCAGUUGGCAGGGUAAAGGCCUACCAAGGCGACGAUCGGUAGCCGGACUGAGAGGUCGGACGGCCACAUUGGGACUGAGACACGGCCCAAACUCCUACGGGAGGCAGCAGUGGGGGAUAUUGCACAAUGGAGGAAACUCUGAUGCAGCGACGCCGCGUGAGUGAAGAAGUAUUUCGGUAUGUAAAGCUCUAUCAGCAGGGAAGAUGAUGACGGUACCUGACUAAGAAGCCCCGGCUAACUACGUG